Molecule: non-coding RNA, 31 nt
Filed under: Homo sapiens (human)
Lineage: Eukaryota; Metazoa; Chordata; Mammalia; Primates; Hominidae
Source: RNAcentral
UGUGAGUGGGAGAAAUGGUCCAAGAGCACCU